GGAUGCGAUCAUACCAAAACUAAAGCAUCGGAUCCCAUCUGAACACCGGAGUUAUGUGUGCUUGGGUGAGAGUGGUACUAGGAUGGGUGACCUCCUGGGAAGUCCUUGUGUGGCAUUCC
This is a non-coding RNA of Triticum aestivum (bread wheat), 119 nucleotides long. The record is from Rfam. NCBI's taxonomy places the organism in Eukaryota, Viridiplantae, Streptophyta, Magnoliopsida, Poales, Poaceae.